ACGGGGGGGGCAAGCGUUGUUCGGAAUUACUGGGCGUAAAGGGCUCGUAGGCGGCCAACUAAGUCGGAUGUGAAAUCCCCAGGCUCAACUUGGGAACUGCAUCCGAUACUGGAUGGCUUGAAUUCGGGAGAGGGAUGCAGAAUUCCAGGUGUAGCGGUGAAAUGCGUAGAUAUCCGGAGGAACACCGGUGGCGAAGGCGGCUUCCUGGACCGACACUGACGCUGAGGCGCGAAAGCUAGGGGAGCAAACGGGA
RNAcentral lists this ribosomal RNA (253 nucleotides) under uncultured prokaryote. Its description in RNAcentral is "partial 16S ribosomal RNA". It matches the Rfam family "Bacterial small subunit ribosomal RNA", at positions 525 to 777 of the family's 1533-position model. The record is from RNAcentral.